This 429-nucleotide ribosomal RNA is filed under the name Gemmatimonadota bacterium. RNAcentral describes it as "Gemmatimonadetes bacterium partial 16S ribosomal RNA". It matches the Rfam family "Bacterial small subunit ribosomal RNA", at positions 355 to 776 of the family's 1533-position model. Lineage: Bacteria; Pseudomonadati; Gemmatimonadota. The record is from RNAcentral.
CAGGGAAUCUUCGGCAAUGGACGAAAGUCUGACCGAGCAACGCCGCGUGAGUGAAGAAGGUUUUCGGAUCGUAAAACUCUGUUGUUAGAGAAGAACAAGGACGUUAGUAACUGAACGUCCCCUGACGGUAUCUAACCAGAAAGCCACGGCUAACUACGUGCCAGCAGCCGCGGUAAUACGUAGGUGGCAAGCGUUGUCCGGAUUUAUUGGGCGUAAAGCGAGCGCAGGCGGUUUCUUAAGUCUGAUGUGAAAGCCCCCGGCUCAACCGGGGAGGGUCAUUGGAAACUGGGAGACUUGAGUGCAGAAGAGGAGAGUGGAAUUCCAUGUGUAGCGGUGAAAUGCGUAGAUAUAUGGAGGAACACCAGUGGCGAAGGCGGCUCUCUGGUCUGUAACUGACGCUGAGGCUCGAAAGCGUGGGUAGCAAACAGG